Molecule: ribosomal RNA, 1286 nt
Filed under: metagenome
Description: bacterial SSU rRNA
Rfam family: Bacterial small subunit ribosomal RNA
Source: RNAcentral
UAGCUAGUUGGUGAGGUAAAGGCUUACCAAGGCGACGAUCUGUAGCGGGUCUGAGAGGAUGAUCCGCCACACUGGAACUGAGACACGGUCCAGACUCCUACGGGAGGCAGCAGUGGGGAAUUUUGGACAAUGGGGGCAACCCUGAUCCAGCCAUGCCGCGUGAGUGAAGAAGGCCUUCGGGUUGUAAAGCUCUUUCGGCCGGGAAGAAAUCGCAUGGGCCAAUACCCUGUGUGGAUGACGGUACCGGAAUAAGAAGCACCGGCUAACUACGUGCCAGCAGCCGCGGUAAUACGUAGGGUGCGAGCGUUAAUCGGAAUUACUGGGCGUAAAGCGUGCGCAGGCGGUUUUGUAAGACAGGCGUGAAAUCCCCGGGCUUAACCUGGGAACUGCGUUUGUGACUGCAAGGCUAGAGUACGGCAGAGGGGGGUGGAAUUCCACGUGUAGCAGUGAAAUGCGUAGAGAUGUGGAGGAACACCAAUGGCGAAGGCAGCCCCCUGGGUCGAUACUGACGCUCAUGCACGAAAGCGUGGGUAGCAAACAGGAUUAGAUACCCUGGUAGUCCACGCCCUAAACUAUGUCAACUAGGUGUUGGGUGGGUAAAACCAUUUAGUACCGUAGCUAACGCGUGAAGUUGACCGCCUGGGGAGUACGGCCGCAAGGUUAAAACUCAAAGGAAUUGACGGGGACCCGCACAAGCGGUGGAUGAUGUGGAUUAAUUCGAUGCAACGCGAAAAACCUUACCUACCCUUGACAUGCCAGGAACUUGCCAGAGAUGGCUUGGUGCCCGAAAGGGAGCCUGGACACAGGUGCUGCAUGGCUGUCGUCAGCUCGUGUCGUGAGAUGUUGGGUUAAGUCCCGCAACGAGCGCAACCCUUGUCGUUAAUUGCCAUCAUUUAGUUGGGCACUUUAACGAGACUGCCGGUGACAAACCGGAGGAAGGUGGGGAUGACGUCAAGUCCUCAUGGCCCUUAUGGGUAGGGCUUCACACGUCAUACAAUGGUCGGUACAAAGGGUUGCCAAGCCGCGAGGCGGAGCCAGUCCCAGAAAGCCGAUCGUAGUCCGGAUUGCAGGCUGCAACUCGCCUGCAUGAAGUCGGAAUCGCUAGUAAUCGUGAUCAGCAUGUCACGGUGAAUACGUUCCCGGGUCUUGUACACACCGCCCGUCACACCAUGGGAGCGGGUUCCGCCAGAAGUAGGUAGCCUAACCGCAAGGGGGGCGCUUACCACGGCGGGGUUCGUGACUGGGGUGAAGUCGUAACAAGGUAGCCGUAGGGGAACCUGCGGCUG